AUUGAACGCUGGCGGCAUGCCUUACACAUGCCAGUCGAACGGCAGCACGGGUGCUUGCCCCUGGUGGCGAGUGGCGAACGGGUGAGUAAUACAUCGGAACAUGUCCUGUAGUGGGGGAUAGCCCGGCGAAAGCCGGAUUAAUACCGCAUACGAUCUACGGAUGAAAGCGGGGGACCUUCGGGCCCCGCGCUAUAGGGUUGGCCGAUGGCUGAUUAGCUAGUUGGUGGGGUAAAGGCCUACCAAGGCGACGAUCAGUAGCUGGUCUGAGAGGACGACCAGCCACACUGGGACUGAGACACGGCCCAGACUCCUACGGGAGGCAGCAGUGGGGAAUUUUGGACAAUGGGCGAAAGCCUGAUCCAGCAAUGCCGCGUGUGUGAAGAAGGCCUUCGGGUUGUAAAGCACUUUUGUCCGGAAAGAAAUCCUUGGCCCUAAUACGGUCGGGGGAUGACGGUACCGGAAGAAUAAGCACCGGCUAACUACGUG
RNAcentral lists this ribosomal RNA (486 nucleotides) under uncultured bacterium. RNAcentral describes it as "partial 16S ribosomal RNA". It matches the Rfam family "Bacterial small subunit ribosomal RNA", at positions 30 to 507 of the family's 1533-position model. The record is from RNAcentral.